RNAcentral lists this transfer RNA (84 nucleotides) under Paenibacillus arenosi. RNAcentral describes it as "Paenibacillus sp. CAU 1523 tRNA-Leu". It matches the Rfam family "tRNA". Rfam says of the family: Transfer RNA (tRNA) molecules are approximately 80 nucleotides in length. Their secondary structure includes four short double-helical elements and three loops (D, anti-codon, and T loops). RNAcentral also lists the same sequence under 2 other names. The record is from RNAcentral. Lineage: Bacteria; Bacillati; Bacillota; Bacilli; Caryophanales; Paenibacillaceae.
GCGCGUGUGGCGGAAUUGGCAGACGCACCAGACUUAGGAUCUGGCGCCUUUGGCGUGGGGGUUCAAGUCCCUCCACGCGCACCA